Molecule: long non-coding RNA, 1737 nt
Organism: Gambusia affinis (western mosquitofish)
Lineage: Eukaryota; Metazoa; Chordata; Actinopteri; Cyprinodontiformes; Poeciliidae
Exons: 7
Source: RefSeq, a predicted model, not a curated record
CUGCCCAGCGAGGAUCCGAACCGGUCCCAUCAACGUCGUUCUCUUCCGUUUGUGAAGCGUGAAAACAGAGGCUAACCGCGGAGCGAGCAGCUUCUGUCCUCACGCCGCCAGACUCUGAAAGUUUUCCCUCUCAGCCUGUUGGAGGUUUGAAACAAGGCCUCUCUGAAGAAAAGCAGCGACGACCAGGUCCAACAGGGUUUAUCGGUCAGCAGAAACUUUGGCCUUCCUGACCCGUUAGAUCGCUAUAAAACCGUCGCAGUGAAGACGUACAACUUGCUCUGUUUUACCGUGUCUGGAACAGAAUAAUCUAGUGUCUAGAUAGUGACUAACAUUUGCGGUACAAUUAUGUGAUUGAAGUGUUUUCAAAACAUUUAGGAUUGAAGAUUAAAAACUUAAAACAUUGUUUGUGUGUAAAUCUGUUCCACCAGAAAUCCUCCAGUUCAGUUGUAGCUUCACCUGAUUGACAUCCUGUAAAAACUUCAUUUCAAUCACCUUCAGCAUCCAGUUCUGAACCAGUGAAUCUAUAUAUUGAUCAGGAUCAAUACAGAUCAUCCACACUCUGUAUGGAUUUUCAGUCCAGCAGAAGUUGUUGAGCUUUUCAGAUAUUUCAGUUGCAGAUUCAUCCUUUGCUCCACAUGAUCAAACGUUCACUAAAGUAACACUGUUAUAGUUUUAGAGGCAUUUUGUCUUAUUUUAAAAAGUAAUAAAAUGAUGUUUAUAGUCUUGUAUUUGUGAUAAUGUAUGAAAUCAUCUCCAGUAGCUCAUGAACUGCAGAAAGUUCCAGUUGUAGAAGAUUUGGUUGUUUUGAAAUGUUAUUUGAAGACACUGCAGGUGCAGCUUCUGUCCACUAGACGGCGACAUUCCGCAACCUGCUGGGGACAGUUGAUGAUUUUAUUGUCUAAAUUUAGUUUUAUUGAUAUAAUUCAAGGUAAAUUAUUAUGUUUGUGAGAAGCGCUUUAUGAAUAAGCUGUAUGUAUUUAUAUUUAUGUAAAAGUGACACAUUUAGGCAAAAGGUUUUAUAAAUUUCUGUUGUCUUUGCACCAAAAAAGGUUAAAAUGACCAAAGUCCCCAGAAAAUGAUGCGAAUGGACCCAAAAGCAGAAAAGUGCAGCACAAUCAUCAUAGUAAAAAUGACAAGAAGAGACCGAAAGUGAAUGAAUCAUCCGGAGGAGGUGAUCAGCGCUGAUUGCGCUGAUUGGAGUCACCUGUGGGGAACCGGAUAAAAAGGAACGGGAUGAGCCAGAGGCGUUUAGUUGAGCUCUGGAUCAGGUUCGGUUCGGUGGGUCUCCAGGUUGUGCUCCAGAGUUUUUCAGCGUCGUGUCCAUCUGUGAGUCCACGGGUGGGUUUCAUCUGCAGCCGAGCGGCUCCUUAAAACUUCAUCUGGCGUUUGGAGCAGCGAUAGUAAAGGCUGUUUUCAGAGCAGCUUCUUUGUUGGCUUCCAGUCCGCCGCAGACAGCAGGUGAAACUGAUUGUGACCGAUUCCUGAUUCAUGGUCAAACACAGAUCUCCGUGGAUCCACAAUAACCUGGUUCGGUUCUGUGAGGUCCACCAUGUCGGACGAGCUGAUAGCAGCUGAUUUAGAUUGUAGUGUUUGUGGUUUUGUUCCUGGAGGAAUGAACGGCUGCUGCCAGAGCCUGGAGCUUUAUUUCUGCAAAUUCUUAGCUGAAUACCAACUGAGCCAGAUGUCCAACAGGUGUGGAGCCUUGUUUCCAUGGUUACAGGCAUGGCCUGCUUAUUG